AGAGCGAACGCUGGCGGCAGGCCUAACACAUGCAAGUCGAGCGCCCCGCAAGGGGAGCGGCAGACGGGAGAGUAACACGUGGGAACGUACCCUUCAGUUCGGAACAACCCAGGGAAACUUGGGCUAAUACCGAAUACGUCCGUAAGGAGAAAGAUUUAUCGCUGAAGGAUCGGCCCGCGUCUGAUUAGCUUGUUGGUGAGGUAACGGCUCACCAAGGCGACGAUCAGUAGCU
Molecule: ribosomal RNA, 232 nt
Filed under: uncultured bacterium
Lineage: Bacteria
Description: partial small subunit ribosomal RNA
Rfam family: Bacterial small subunit ribosomal RNA
Source: RNAcentral